This 459-nucleotide ribosomal RNA is filed under the name uncultured bacterium. Its description in RNAcentral is "partial 16S ribosomal RNA". It matches the Rfam family "Bacterial small subunit ribosomal RNA", at positions 338 to 795 of the family's 1533-position model. The record is from RNAcentral.
CCUACGGGUGGCAGCAGUGAGGAAUAUUGGUCAAUGGGCGCGAGCCUGAACCAGCCAAGUCGCGUGAAGGAUGACGGUCCUAUGGAUUGUAAACUCCUUUUAUCGGGGUGUAAAAGGCGUCACGCGUGGAGUUUCGAGAGUACCCGAAGAAAAAGCAUCGGCUAACUCCGUGCCAGCAGCAGCGGUAAUACGGAGGAUCCGAUGUUUGUCCGGAUUUAUUGGGUUAAAAGGGAGCGUAGGCGGCAGAUAAAGUUAGCGGUAAAAUUGAGUGGCGCAACCUGUUCGAGCCGUGGAAACUGGUUUUCUUGAGUGCGCGAGAAGUAUGCGGAAUGCGUGGUGUAGCGGUGAAAUGCUUAGAUAUCACGAAGAACUCCGAGUGCGAAGGCAGCAUACGGGAGCGCAACUGACGCUGAGGCACGAAAGUGUGGGUAUCGAACAGGAUUAGAUACCCGAGUAGUC